Molecule: RNA transcript, 13065 nt
Organism: Phyllopteryx taeniolatus (common seadragon)
Lineage: Eukaryota; Metazoa; Chordata; Actinopteri; Syngnathiformes; Syngnathidae
Exons: 3
Source: RefSeq, a predicted model, not a curated record
AUUAUUACUGUCCUUGUGACUUGAGUUUCUGUUUCCAUGUAAGUCCCGCCUUCCUGCUGUCAGCAUAUACUGUAUUCCUCCUGUCUCUGACUUGCAUUUUCAGAGGAUGUCAUUUAUCCGGACACUUCCACUUCAGCUUCCAACUCACAUUUUUCCCUUAGUGGGAAGGUAUUAUUCUCCUCUCUUUGACUUGGGUUGCCACUUGCCAGAUGAUGUCCUUUCCAAACAUAGCAACUUUUUGGAGGUAUAAACUGCCUCAUGCUGGCUUUUAAAAAAUCAUCAGUAAGCCCAUUUUUUUCCAGUUUGCCACGGUACUAAUUUGAAGUGGGAUAGCAACCGGCCCAAGGACAUCCGCCAACAGAAUGUCAGUAAAGCCGAGUUGUUAAGCACGCAAAAAAAGAGCGCCGGGUGGGACACGGGAACGAGGUCAUGACGUCUGCUGUGAGUCAGCUCCCAAGCUGCUUUUCACCGCCGCCAGAAUGAGAACAAAGAGCUGCUGCACAAACUUUUAAUACCUAAUUAAACUGCACAAUUUGUGUUUUGUCGUGAACAAUAACAAAACUGAAACGGCACUAUAGCUCAUUCGGCUGUUUCCAGUAUAAAAUGUUCUCAUUAAAUAAGUGUAAGAGUUAAAUGAGCCCGCACAAUGGUACACUUAAUUACUUUUUGUUAUUGCAGCAUUAUAGGCGCUCUUGUUGAAAUGGAAGUAUUAAUCCUUCCAUGAGUGGUUAUUAAUGGACACAUGCUGGUCACUGUGUGAUUAUCUUGUUGCCAUAACAACAGGGCACACCAAAACAAAAGAUGUAAGUACUUUGAUGGAAAGAGAGCUGACAUGUUACUAUUGCAGUGCAUCAAGUUUACUUCAACUAGAAACUUUGUGAGGAUACAGUACUGGGGCCUAGAGUGUUGUGUAACUAUAACAUUUCGACUUGCACAUUAUAAUGAAAUUAAAUGCUGUAAAUGGGGCCAAGAAAGUCACAUGCCAUGAGGCGAUGUGGCGCAAUGGAAAGCACAUUGGACUUCUCGUUAAGUAACUUAACUUUAUUUCUUGAUCAUUUUAACAACAACCAGAGGUGUAAUAAGGUGCUGUACAUAAAACAUUAAAAUAAUAAUGAUGCAAAAAGAAAUAAUGUAAAAUAAGUAAAAUAUUCUUUUCCAAUUCAAAUAUACAAGAGCUCCAUUGCAUUUGUUGUUUGAAGCCAUUCGUAGAUAAAAAAGGAGGAGCAAAAUUGAAGUCUCCAAUGACCAGUAUCCAGGACACCAGGAUCACAAUUCAAUUAACCUACCAUGGAUCACAGAUGUCUAUGGCUGGGACACUGAAAUUGUAAUCUCACGGCGUGCGUGACGUGACGUCCCUCGCCUUUGCUACAAGAUGAGUUUGAACGUAAACAAACAACUGCAGUUUUCAAACAGCCAAUAGUUCUUCCGAUGAUGAGUAACACUCUAACAACUAACACUAAAUGACCAAAACAGUGGAAAAGAACAAAUUGAGGAGAAAAUUAAAAGAGCUAUUGUAACAGGUUGCCAACUCACAGGUAAGUCCAGUUGACAGUAACAAUUGAAGUGAUUCAAAGAUUGUGAGUUUGAUGCAGAAUAUUUUAUUUAUUCAAACAUAUACUGUGCAUUUCAUUUGGAAAUGUGUGAUGUUCUUCUACAAAUGCUGUUCAAGGUGAGGUAUAGGUUGGCCUUGACGUGUAAACUUCUAAUGUGCUUCUGCUAUGUAGAUUCUUGAUUUACCUGACAAUUUGAAUUGUCGAUUGAAAAUAAUCAUUGCAGUUAAGACUGAAUCACAGCAGGCUCAGAUUCUUUCGAUAAAACCAGGGCUGCAACUAUCCAUCCAUUUCCUGAGCCGCUUCUCCUCACAAGGGUCGCGGGAGUGCUGGAGCCUAUCCCAGCUAUCUUCGGGGAGGAGGCGGGGCACACCCUGAACUUGAACUGGUCGCCAGCCAAUCGCAGGGCACACAUAAACAAACAACCAUUCGCACUCACAUUCACACCUACGGGCAAUUUAGAGUCUUCAAUUAACCUACCAUGCAUGUUUUUGGGAUGUGGGAAGAAACCGGAGUGCCCACGCAGGCACGGGGAGAACAUGCAAACUCCACACAGGUGGGGCUGGGAUUUGAACCCCAGGCCUCAGAACUGUGAGGCAGACACUCUAACCAGUCGGCCACUGGGGCUGCAACUAAAGAUUAUUUUAAUAAUCGGUUAAUCUGUUGAUUAUAUUUUCGAUUAAUCAAAUCGGAUUCAAAAACCUUUUUUUAUUUAUAUCCCUUGAAAUAGUGUAUAUAGUGUAUAGUGGUGUAGUGAAGAAAAUGCACAAAUAUGAUUCAGUUACUGGUUUGGUAAUAUUUCAGAAAACGGGCCAAAUUGUUGAUCAUAUUUUUCCUAAGUAAAAGCAGAUGUUUGAAAAUGUCUUAUUUUGAUGAAAUAAAGCUAAUCAGUCUGCUGUAAUGGAAGACAGAAAUGUGAGAAUAUUUAGGGUAAAGAGGCUGAAAUUUUGAGAACUUUGACAUUUUUAGGUUCAAGUUCCCCCCUUCCACCAGAAUCCAUUUUUUUCUACUAUUGUAUUCAUAACAUAGGUCAAAAUUAGUCUGUGACAUGGUUUUAAGUUUGUCAUCUAUGGGAUUUUUUGGUUGAAUGCAAAAGGCAAUAAACGACCUAAUUCUUGCAAAACGGUUGGAUUUGAAAUCGCCGACAGUGUGAUGCUAUUUUGUCAAUGAACUACAACGGAUAGUCAGGACUGCGGGAAAAAAAUUGUCUGUACCCCCUACCCACCCUUGAGGACUUGCACACUACCAGAACUAAGACAAGAGCAUGAAAAAUCCUCUUGGACCCUUCACAUCCUGGUCACCACCUCUUCCAGCUCCUUCCCUCAGGUAGGCGCAACCGAUCUUCUUUCUUCUUUUCCUUUCGGCUUGUCCCUUUAGGGGUCACCACAGCGCGUCAUCCUUCUCCAUGUAAGCCUAUCUCCUGCAUCCUCCUCUCAAACACCAACUGCCCUCAUGUCUUCCCUCACGACAUCCAACAACCUUCUCUUUGGUCUUCCUCUAGCGCUCUUGCCUGGCAGCUCCAUCCUCAUCAUCCUUCUACCAAUAUACUCACUAUUUCUUCCACGUGUCCAAACCAUUGAAGUCUGGUCUCUCUAACUUUGUCUCCAAAACAUCGAACCUUGGCUGUCCCUCUGAUGAGCUCAUUUCUAAUUUUAUCCAACCUGGUCAAUCCGAGAGCGAACCUCAACAUCUUCAUUUCCGCCACCUCCAGCUUUGCUCCCUGUUGUCUCUUCAGUGCCACUGUCUCUAAUCCGUACAUCAUGGCUGGCCUCACCACUGUUUUAUAAACUUCGCCCUUCAUCCUAGCUGAGACUCCUCUGUCACAUAACACACCUGACACCUUCCUCCACCCGUUCCAACCUGCUUGGACCCGUUUCUUCACUUCCUGACCACACUCACCGUUGCACUGGACAGUUGACCCCAAGUAUUUAAAGUCCUCCACCCUUGCUAUCUCUUCUCCCUGUAGCCUCACUCUUCCCCCUCUACCCCUCUCAUUCAUGCACAUAUAUUCUGUUUUACUUCAGCUAAUCUUCAUUCCUCUGCUUUCCAGUGCAUGCCUCCAUCUUUCUAACUGUUCCUCCACCUGCUCCCUGCUUUCACUGCAGAUCACAAUGUCAUCUGCAAACAUCAUGGCCACGGGGAUUCCAGUCUAACCUCAUCUGUCAGCUUAUCCAUCACCACUGCAAACAGGAAGGGGCUCAGGGCUGGACCCUGAUGCAGUCCCACCUCAACCUUAAAUUUGUCUGUCACACCUACACCACACCUCACCACUGUUCUGACGCCCUCGUACAUGUCCUGUAUUAUUGUAACAUACAUCUCUGCCACUCCAGACUUCCGCAUGCAGUACCACAGUUCCUCUUUGGGUACUCUGUCAUAGGCUUUCUCUAGAUCUACAAAGACACAAUGUAGCUCCUUCUAACCUUCUGUGUACCUUUCCAUCAACAUCCUCAAGGCAAAUAAUGCAUCUGUGGUACUCUUUCUAGGCAUGAAACCAUACUGUUAAUUCCCACAGCUCUGCACAUCACCCUUGUUCUUAAAAAUGGGCACUAGCACACUUUUCCUCCAUUCCUCAGGCAUCUUCUCACGCGCUAGAAUUCUAUUGUACAAGCUGGUCAAAAACUCCACAGCCACCUCUCCUAGAUGCUUCCAUACCGCCACAGGAAUGUUAUCAGGACCAACUGCCUUUCCAUUUUUCAUCCUCUUUAGUGCCUUUCUAACUUCCCCCUUACUAAUCAUUGCCACUUCCUGGUCCACCACACUUGCCUUUCUCCCUCUCUGCCUGACUCUCCCUUUUCCUCAUUCAUCAACUCCUCGAAGUAUUCUUUCCAUCUGUCCAGCACACUACUGGCACCAGUCAACAUAUUUCCAUCUCUAUCCUUAAUCACCCUAACCUGCUGCACAUCCUUCCCAUCUCUAUCCCUCUGUCUGGCCAACCUGUAUAGAUCCUUUUCUCCUUCUUUAGUGUCCAACCUGGCAUACAUGUCAUCAUAUGUCUCUUGUUUGGCCUUUGCGACCUCUACCUUUGCCCUAUGUCGCAUCUCAAUGUAUUCCUUUCGCCUCUCCUCGGUCCUCUCAGUGUCCCACUUCUUUUUAGCUAACCUUUUUCCUUGUAUGAAUUCCUGUACUGAGAGGUUCCACCACCAAAUCUCCUUCUCUCCUUUCCUGCCAGAAGUACACCAAGUACUCCCCUGCCUGCCUCUCUGAUUACCUUGGCUGCAGUGGUCCAGUCUUCUUGAAGCGCUCUUCCCAAAAAGCUGCUCAACAUUCAUCCUGUCUCAGCUUCCACCACAUGGUUCUCUGCUCUGCCUUUGUCUUUCUAAUCUUCCUACCCACCACCAGAGUCAUCUUACACACCACCAUCCUAUGCUGUCUAGCAACACUCUCCCCUACCACUACCUUACAGUCGGUAACCUCCUUCAGAUUACAUCCUCUGUACAAGUUGUGCCAAUGGAGCAUCAAAGGGUUGUAUGAUAAUUGAGAAAUUGUACUUGGUUGAAAACUUCACCAUGAUUUGACUGUGGGUCAAACUCACCUUUGAAGGUCUUCAACUAUGAAUUACCUCAAGUUAACUUUCCUGCGUUAGUUGUUUAGUGGUAAGCAUAUCUGUCUCCCAAGCUAUGACCUGUGUUUGAUUCCAAGCCAAUGCAUUGCUUUAGAUUAUCUUGUGGGCCGGCAGUUACUCCAUUGUCAUACUUGUUACAUUGUUGGCUAGUUGCUCUAAUGUUUUGUAUAACUAUGAUAAAAAUUCUGAUUGUUCGUAUGACAUUGUUUCUGUGGCGAGACAAAAUUAGAACUUUACUUCGAAGUGCAAUGCAAUAAAAAGCCCACUAGUGUUGUGCAUUAUUAAUUGCAUUAUGUUGCACACUUGACAACAAAAUGACUCUGGUGGGACUCGAACCCACAACCUUUGAAUGACUUUCACCAUUAAUUAGCUAGAAGUCCGAUGCGCUAUCCAUUGCGCCACAGAGCCACUUACCAUAAUCUUGUUAGUGGUUAUGAUAAAAUAACAUUAAGAUUGUACCAAGUACAAAUGUCUGAUAUAACUAUUGUCUACUCUUUCCAUGUCUGAAAAAUUGCUUGCAUAUUAACGAUCAACCGAGGUGAUGGGUGGGAUUCCAGCCGACCGCUUUUUCUACUGUCAUUCUGUUGCCAUUUGUAAGAUGAUUCUGGUGGGAAUCAGACCCAAAAAUCCCUGCGGUGGUAGAGGACUAUCUUAACCAUUUAACCUCACAGCUGCCACAAGUGCAGUGGCACUUUGAUUCACUUAAACUUAUUUUUCAAAAUUGCCUCUGUAGUGGUUAGCAUAGCUGCCUUCCAAGCAGUUGGUCUCUGUUCAAUUCCCAGCCAAUGUUAUUGCAGUCUUUUGUAGCAUCACGGGCCUCGAUUCCCGCAAUUUCAAUCCUCUGUAUGUGUCAUGUAUAUUGAAGAAUUUACAAUAAAACUACCUUGUAUGUUAUUUACAGACGUGCGAACACCAAACAUCGCUCCGUCGCAUAAUACAUUUAACAUUAACAUCCGUAAACUAAUUGGAUAAUUGUAGGCGUGUUUCCUAAUUAAUACAAGCUGUACGAGUGGAUCAGCAUUUUACGUGUGCUUCACAGUUCCGCUGGGACCACAACCAGGGCCACGACCCACAGUACCUCAACGCGAAAAAUACAAAAGACCAGUGCAACAAAUACGACACUGGGUGAUCUCAUGAGCAAAAAUGUUGCUUAAACGUAAGAGUAGCAAUAGAGAAUGUCCGCUCCAGAGGUGGGUAGAGUCGCCAAAUAUUGUACUCAAGUAACUUGAGUGUUACUUGACAAUAAUGUGACUCAAGUAAAAGUGUAAAAAGUACACAGUGAAAUAAUUACUCAAGUACUGAGUAAAUAGUGAGAAACUUCAGAUUUUUUUAACCACUGCAUGAACAUCAAUUAAAAAAAAUGACAAAAUAAAAUGUGACUGUGCAAAUUCUGAUGUUGCUCUGUGUGUGUGUAUGCUAGUUAUGCACAGUGUUUUCUCAAGUUAUAAUUGAGCUGAAAUAUCCACGUGACAGCAGACAGUGCCAGUAAAAUACUACAAUACAUGGAAACUGUUGUUUUUAAAUCAUGCAUUACAGAAUGGCAAAAAAAUGGAAUCAGCCCACUCUCGCUCUCAGGUGCUAAUUUAUUUAGAGAAGUCAAUUCUCUUUCAUUUGUAGCAUUUCUCUUGGUUGUAGUGCUUCCAGGACAUGUAUGCGGAUGUUGGAAUUUUUGUUUCUUCUUUUCAAUCAGAUUUCAGCUUCAAUGUACUGCCAUGUCCAUCCUUUCCUCCCAGGGCCUCCAGAAUCAGUUGUGCUGGGCCAUGUAACUUAAACUAUAUUAAGUUUUGUUUUGUUUUGUUUUUGAACCAAUCAGAUUUCUAAAUCGUCCACAUAGGGACAGAGCGCUGGCUCUCGAUGACUUCAGCUUUUUUGUUCUCCAAUUGGUUGAUCAGAGCAAAAUUAUUUGAUGAGGGAUCUGCACCCAUUAAUACAGUUAAUAAUUAGCAUCUCUGGUGAGCAUGAUGUAUUUUACUUUUUCACGUUUUUGUCAUGGUAUUAGAUAAAUAUUGAUUCUGAACUGCUCCGUAUGAUGCGAUUAUAUUGCGUUUUUAUUUAGUAUUGAUGGUUUCGAUAAGUUCAACGUGAUAGAGGUGGUAUUAAGAGUCAGAUUUAGUCGCGUAAGACCCCACUGAAGGCCCAAGUACCAAAUGCACGGCCCUCCACUUGCGUGAACAGAAUUUUCCCAUAUGUGGCAAAAGUAUCCGCUGGUGGCAGCAAAUAUCCAAGGAGAGGGACUCUGCAUCUUUUUGCACAAUUGUCAAAAAAAAAAAAAAUGUACCGCCAUUACCAGAUAACUAGCAACCCUUUACUGCUCAGUGACUGUUUUUUUUUUUUGUCAAUGUCUUUCUGUCUCCAAAGUGUUCUGUCAAUUGACUGUCUGUUGUCGUACUAGAGCGGCUCCAACUACCGGAGACAAAUUCCUUGUGUGUUUUUUGGACAUACUUGGCAAAUAAAGAUGAUUCUGAUUCUGAUUGUGAUUCUGAGAAUGCAUGUGUUUAUUGCUUUCAACAUUUUUGCGGCUGGUUUUAUGAGGACAAAGUGAGGCUUUAUCCUUGCAAAGAAGCACAAGAAUGAGAAACCGAAUACCCUCCUGGCCGCAGCCUCCAAAUUGGCCUCAUUACUGCGUAACUUCCUGGUCAAUGCGCGUCGCUCUGACCUUGGCCUUUGAAAUGUAGAAGCGCUGCGUCUUGGGGUUGGCGCUCGAGGAACAAGGCGUCUCUGUGUGAACGUGUGUGUUUUGUGUGUGUGCGUAAAUACAUGUUGGGCAGCAGGCUCAUUUGUGUGAUUGUGCGUCGACGCGCUGGCGUUUGAGGGAGUUAGCGGUGCUCCUUCUGACGUCAAUCUGCUUCACUUGCAAUAGAUCUAUGUCAGUGUUCAGUGUGGUGCUGAGGACUGGAUUAGACAAAGAACAGUAAUGCCUAUCAAUCACUUUUAUAGAUAAACACAGGCCCAUCCAUCUAUUGUAACAUUCCAGGCAUGAGUGUUGGUGUGAGAAAUCAAUUGCAUAUGCAUCCUCUCUUCAAGGUUCAAGGUGCUUUUAUUGUCAAUUCUUCUAUAUGCGUAACACGUGCAGAGGUUUGAAAUUACGGUACUCAAGGGCCCGCGGUGCUACAAAACCCCAAUGUUGAUAAAGUGGCUGGUGCGACCCUGAGUCUGGUGUGUGUGUGUGUGUGUGUGUGUGCUUGUGCAUGUAUGUGGGGCGUCAAGAGUUCAGAGUUUAGGUGGGCAGAGGACAGAAGAGGUAGAAAGUUCAAAUUCCUGACAACCUGAUGAAUAAAACUGUCUUUGAGUCGGCUAGUCCUGGCCCGCAGACUCCGCAGUCUCCUCCCUGUGCACUAAUCAGACAUCAGCACAAGGUUACAAUAAACAGCUGUGACAGUGUAUACAUGUUAUUUUCCUGAGUGAAGAAAAGACACUCAGGCUAGUUCAUCUCCUAAAUUGUCAACAACAGUGCCUGUAUCAACCCUGCAGGACAAUACCACUAGCAGUAUGUGCACAUGCAUCUUUAGUUUUUGCUUUUUCACUCCAUUAUAGACAUUGGGCUCCUUUUUAUAGAUGGCGCAUCCACAGCAGAGUACAAAAGCUGGCAUAUCUGGAUUUUUGUGCAAGCACACGGGUGUGUAUUUGGAGAUGCGCCCAACGACGUGACAAUUUGGUGGGAGAAAUUUAGUCUAAACGUACGUAUCAAGGUAGACCGCCGGUCUAAUGCGAAUUUGGUGAAUUUGAUCGGGGAACAGGCAGACAGAUUCUCAGCUCCAGGGACAUGUGGGGUUGAUGUCAGAUGUAUUUCAUUCAUGAACACGUGAACAGCGCGCAGCAAACCCUUUGAAUCAUUGUAGAAAUCAAUUAAUUGAAGACAUUAGUAUUUAGGGUUGGGCAUCGAGAAUCGGGAGCCGACUGGAACCAGGACUAACAUUCCAAUUCUCCCGGAAUCGUUCAAUUUAAAAACUUUCGGUUUCCAGUUUCGUUGCCGACCUCGAAGAAGUGGCAUUUUAGUUUAUGCUGCCGGCUGCUAAGAAAAUGGAUGUUCAUAAUUUGCACACCUUAUAUUUAAACCAUGCAAACCUUUUUGAACCAGCCCUCAAAAAGAAACGAAAUCGAGAAUCGUUUGGAACUGGAAUCGAAAUGAAGAACCGGAAUCGCUCAAAUUCAAACGAUGCCCAACCCUGUUAGUAUUAUUAUCAUCAUUAUUGUAAUUUUUAAAUCAUCCCAACAAUCAGGGGUGUGGGGGCCAUUUCCAAGUGUCCACUUCACGGCGCAGAUAUUAUCUCCUUCACAUCAUCAGCCCUUGGAGGUCUGCUUGCAGUUUCGUAUAAAGGUACUUUGCGCACUUCGACCUCCCACAAUCGAGCAAAUUAGUUUCUUCUUCUGCCGUGUCAAAGACUGUGUUCGGUUCUUGCGUACUGCAUUUCAAGGGAAUGAGAGGACCCGCUUUGAUUGGACAGGAUUGAAGUCGGAUGUGUUCACGGCCACAGCAAUACAGAUGUCCCUCUUUUUACAUGUGCUGGUCCACAAAAUUACCAGCACUUCAGCGCAGAGUUAAGCCACACGUAGCACCAAAUUUCACAUUUCAGUCACAAAAAUAGUGUUUAAAAUACAUACAAUCACACUUACAUUUGUGGGGAUCAUAUUAACAUUACUGGCUUGUACAGUUCAGUUGUAUUUAACUUGAUUUAAGUCAUUCAUUAUUUAAGUACAGUUUUUUUAUUUUCCUUUACAGUGGUACCUUGAAGACUUAUGAGUGACCCAUCUCACAAGCCGUCGCUCAGAUGAUUUUUGUUUGCUUUGCGUUGCCAGCAAGAUUCUGUUACGAGCGCUCGAUGGUGGCAUAGAACUCAACUCACUUCAUAACAAGCAGCAGUUUGGCACGUAUUGAACAAUUCUUAAAUAAGAGGGAUCAAGCUGCCGCUCCAAGUUGAAACUAAACAUCAAACCAGUAUUUAAUACAUGGUGUAUUUAAAACAACUAUGUACGUCACUUUAAAUGUCUGCUAGAUUAAUGCUAACACACAAUGCAAAGACAUUUAGCCCGAAAAUGACAUUUACGGGCUAACGAACAGCAUCUACGUGGCAGAGUAAUAACCCAUUACGCAACGGAUAUUUUAACACUAACUGUGCAACAACACAUUUAGUAUAUAUUCUUUAUCCUUUGCAAAAAACAUCAAAUUUUCCUGCCGCUUAAUGAGUCACUUAGUUGUGAAACUCUUUGUUUGUGUCUGUAUGAGUAUUAUAUUUUGCUUGGUAUUCAAAAUAAUGUGGAAUAAAUCAGAAACCAUUAAAUUCUAAAAAAGUAGAAUUUUGUUUGAAUACUAAUUUAAUUUGAGUAUUGCUCUAAUUACAGUAACAGGGUUGCAAAUCAAGAGUACAUGCAAAAUUUUUAAGCUGCUAUACUAACUGGUCAAAAACAAAAGUAGCCAUUUAAUAAAGAAAGACUGUCUUUUUCUGAUCGUAUGACGAACAGGUUUGCAUUAUUUUCGGUGACACACUAGUUUUAAAUGUCGCGGGGACAGAAAAUGACCCAGCUAUAGAUACACCAAUCACCAUGCUGAACAUAGCUCCAUCCAGAUGAGAUUACACGUGCAAAAUACAUCAGCAUGACUGCAUGUCACUUGAUAGUCUACAAUCUAAUAUCUGGAAUAGACGCUGUCAUAUUUGAUCGAAAGCGGAAUGCUGUUGCUAGCAUGGUCUUGCUACUUUGCUGGUUGAGUUGAAGUUGACUGAGACUUGUCUAAGUGAAAAAAGUGACGUGUUGAAGCGGUGUUGUCAUCACAGCGUCAGUCUGACAUUCAAGGGUCUAUACAGACAACAAUCCCCCGCCUCCCUCCCCCUCUCUUUUUUUCUUUUUCCUCUUUUUCCAUAACGUGAUGGAAUCCAACCGUCAUUGAAAUGGGGACUGAAGACAUGCUGCUUUGUAACCUCCGCCAGGGAGCUUAUUUACAUCAACUUGUCUUAUUUGUUUAUGACUAACAUUUUCACAUGCUCAUCUACUACGAACAAUACUGCCACAUUUUUCAGAAUCUUGCGCAUCGUCACUAUAACUAACCAUUUUUGGGGGGAAUUUUGUGUUUUACAUUUUUUUUUACAAAAGCAAAACCUAAAAUAAAAUGUUUUAUUUUUCUUUAGUCUAAAAAAUCAUUGGUCUUCAUCAGCAAUCAUGAAAGACUUUAAUAUUCUACUAAUACCAUAAGUAGAAUCAAUGCCUUAGUACAGUUGUAUUGAACGUUUUAAUACAAUAUUAAAUUUAAUUUAAUCUUUAAGAACUGUUUAUUUUUUUUUUAAUUAUGUAGGCACAAUUCUGCUUUAAAUUGAAAGUUUGCAGUUUUGAGAAAUGGCUAGCAAGAUUUUUGUGCAGCCUCACUUCACUACUCCUCCUCAAGUGUCUGACCAAAGCCCCGCCCCUCACUGACGUGCACUGUAUGUAGCAGGCACUGUAAACAAACAUUAGCCACGGCAGCUACAUCAGUAGCAUGUCUUAUUCGUAGUGGAUUGUUACUGUAACAUUAAGUGUUAUUGGCUUAAAGUUGAAUCUUUUGGAAUAUACAAUCAAUAAAAAUUCAAGAAGAGGUGAUAAACUUACCUGUCAAGCAGAAAUGUUGCUAUUUCAGCAUUGUUUCUCAAUCCUCAGCUGCCUGAGGGCCCGAGCUGUGUGCUUAGGUUGAUGCCCAGCUGUUGGCAAACAGUAAAGUUUCAACAAAGCUUCUGAAGCCCAAGGUAACAGUUUGCAGAUGACACCACAGUCAUCAAAGACGGUGACGAGUCGGCAUAUCGACAGGAAAUGGAGCGGCUGGAGCUGUGGUGCGGCCGACACAACGUGGAGCUGAACACGCUCAAGACUGUAGAGAUGAUCGUGGACUUCAGGAGGCAUCCUUCGCCACAGCUGCCCCUCACGUUGUCCAGCUGCCUUGUGUCAACCGUCGAGACCUUCAAGUUCCUGGGAAUUUCAGUCUCUCAGAACCUGAAGUGGGAGAUCAACAUCAACUCCGUCCUCAAAAAGGCCGAGCAGAGGAUAUACUUCCUGCGGCUUCUGCGGAAGCAAGGCCUGCCACAGGAGCAACUGAGGCAGUUCUACACAGCGGUCAUCGAAUCAGUCCUGUGUUCUUCCAUCACAGUCUGGUUUGGUGCUGCUACAAAAAAGGACAAACUCCGACUGCAACGGACAAUCAAAACUGCUGGAAAGAUUGUCGGUACUCCCCUACCCACCCUUGAGGACUUGCACGCUGCCAGAACUAAGACAAGAGCAUACAAAAUCCUCUUGGACCCUCCACAUCCUGGUCACCAGCUCUUCCAACUCCUUCCCUCAGGUAGGCGCUACCGAACAAUGAAAACUAAAACUAGCAGACAUUCCAACAGCUUCUUCCCUCUUGCCAUUAACUUCUUAAACAGUUAACUUACAAUUCCAUUGCAACAUGCUGCCAAUUUUUUUGUCUUGAGUUUGUUGUCACAUUUCUGUCGGGCCAAUUAUACAUUUACUCGUGCAAUCACUGUAGUAGUCGCGCCACGCUGCACUAUUUGCAUAUAUGUUGUUGACUGGCCACUCAUGUGCCUGAGUAGCAUCUGCAACAUUUGCACAAUCAACAUUGUCCCAGAUUAUCGCACUACUAGUCACUUUAAACUGCAUACAUUUCUUGAAGUCUCUGCGCCCUUUGCACAAUGGUCAUUGCACCGGACUAUUGCUAUAUUAGUCAUUCGAACUGCUCUCAUUGCUAGAGAACUCUGCAUCUUUUUGCACAAUUGUCAAAAACAAAAUUCAAGUUGUAAUUCAAGCAUUACCAGAUUACUAGCAACCUCUUAUUGCUCAGUGACUGUUUUUUUUUUUGGCAAUGUCUUUAUGUCUCCAAAGUGUUCUCUGUCAAUUGACUGUCUGUUGUCGUACAAGAGCGGCUCCAACUACCGGAGACAAAUUCCUUGUGUGUUUUUCACAUACUUGGCGUAAUAAAGAUGAUUCUGAUUCUGA